CGGCGGACGGUGAUAAUGUCUGGGAACUGCUGAUGGAGGGGGAUACUACUGAACGUAGCUAUACGCAUACGUCGCAGACAAAGAGGGGGACUUCGGGCCUCUUGCCAUCAGAUGUGCCAGAUGGGAUUAGCUAGUAGGUGGGGUAACGGCUCACCUAGCGACGAUCCUACUGGUCUGAAGGAUGACAGCCACACUGGAAACUGAACACGGUCCAACUCCUACGGGAGGCACAUGGGGAAUAUUGCACAAUGGGCGCAAGCCUGAUGCAGCCAUGCCGCGUGUAUGAGGAAGGCCUUCGGGUUGUAAAGUACUUUCAGCGGGGAGGAAGGUGUUGUGGUUAAUAACCACAGCAAUUGACGUUACCCGCAGAAAAGCACCGGCUAACUCCGUGCCAGCAGCCGCGGUAAUACGGAGGGUGCAAGCGUUAAUCGGAAUUACUGGGCGUAAAGCGCACGCAGGCGGUCUGUCAAGUCGGAUGUGAAAUCCCCGGGCUCAACCUGGGAACUGCAUUCGAAACUGGCAGGCUAGAGUCUUGUAAGGGGGGUAGAAUUCCAGGUUGUACGGUGAAUGCGUAAGAUCUGGAGGAAAUACCGGUGGCGA
RNAcentral lists this ribosomal RNA (600 nucleotides) under uncultured bacterium. RNAcentral's name for it is "bacterial SSU rRNA". It matches the Rfam family "Bacterial small subunit ribosomal RNA", at positions 96 to 718 of the family's 1533-position model. The record is from RNAcentral.